GUUUUCUUUCAUGAAUAUCUUCUCAUUGUCAUUUUUGUGAAGAAAGAAUUUUUAAUGUAAAGAUGAGAAACUGACGUGCAUAGGAUCCAACUGAAAAAUAUAUAAUAUGCUUGAUAUCCAACAUACUCUGAAAAUGAUAUUUGUUGUCGUAUUUAAAACCAAACUGUUUCAUUGCUCUUUUUGUUUUUAUUUUUUAAUAUUAAUAGUAGAGUAGUACUGCUCCUAGGCCAUAAAUUCUUUUUAGUUCUUUGAAUUAGUUGGGCAAUCAAUAUACAGCAUAGGAGGCAUAUGUAUAGUAUCUUCACAGUUUUGCUAUUUUCAUUCCUGUUCUUGUAUAGCUAUUGCUGCAUCAGUAAAUUGAAGACAAGAUGUGAUGAAAGCAAAAGAGAUUCGGCUGUUGAGAAUCCCAAUAAAGAUG
This 418-nucleotide unclassified non-coding RNA is filed under the name Hevea brasiliensis (rubber tree). The record is from RNAcentral. Lineage: Eukaryota; Viridiplantae; Streptophyta; Magnoliopsida; Malpighiales; Euphorbiaceae.